CUACGGGACGCUGCAGUGGGGAAUAUUGCACAAUGGGCGCAAGCCUGAUGCAGCCAUGCCGCGUGUAUGAAGAAGGCCUUCGGGUUGUAAAGUACUUUCAACGGGGAGGAAGGGAGUAAAGUUAAUACCUUUGCUCAUUGACGUUACCCGCAGAAGAAGCACCGGCUAACUCCGUGCCAGCAGCCGCGGUAAUACGGAGGGUGCAAGCGUUAAUCGGAAUUACUGGGCGUAAAGCGCACGCAGGCGGUUUGUUAAGUCAGAUGUGAAAUCCCCGGGCUCAACCUGGGAACUGCAUCUGAUACUGGCAAGCUUGAGUCUCGUAGAGGGGGGUAGAAUUCCAGGUGUAGCGGUGAAAUGCGUAGAGACCUGGAGGAAUACCGGUGGCGAAGGCGGCCCCCUGGACGAAGACUGACGCUCAGGUGCGAAAGCGUGGGGAGCAAACAGGAUUAGAUACCCGAGUAGUC
This 464-nucleotide ribosomal RNA is filed under the name uncultured bacterium. RNAcentral's name for it is "partial 16S ribosomal RNA". It matches the Rfam family "Bacterial small subunit ribosomal RNA", at positions 339 to 795 of the family's 1533-position model. The record is from RNAcentral.